Molecule: long non-coding RNA, 381 nt
Organism: Ornithorhynchus anatinus (platypus)
Lineage: Eukaryota; Metazoa; Chordata; Mammalia; Monotremata; Ornithorhynchidae
Exons: 3
Source: RefSeq, a predicted model, not a curated record
UUGGCGAAGAAUAGCAACAAUCCCUGCCCAACAAGAGGCUCACAGUCUAGAUCAUCUUCCAGAGAUAAGCAAGAUGAAGUUCAGGAUAAAGAGGGAAAGGUUUGCUCUGGGAGAUGAUUAGGGGAUGUUAGGUAGAUUUCUAGGAGUUGGGAUUUAUGUCUAGGCAGUAAACAUCACACGAUUCAACCUGAGGUCACAACUGGACCCAGCGCUGGGAUACAAGAUCAUAUUCUUGCAGCUGAGGAAAUAGUCUGAAGAAUAUACACACGUGAAAUGAACUCUAUUUCUGGAGUUUUCCUAAGGCUGACGUGUGAUGGUUUUCUAAGUGAAGUUGAAAUUGAAGCGCGACACCACGGACACAUCUCUCCCAGAAGGGCCCAC